Molecule: long non-coding RNA, 235 nt
Filed under: Elaeis guineensis (African oil palm)
Lineage: Eukaryota; Viridiplantae; Streptophyta; Magnoliopsida; Arecales; Arecaceae
Description: long non-coding RNA (EGUI_LNC048604)
Source: RNAcentral
GUGAUCGAGACUAACCUAACGGUUUCUUCUACUACCAGUUAGAUAAUAGACUCUAGUUCUAGUGUACACUUGUGCACUUCAAUGCAGGAUCUUAAGGAUGUAGAAGGUUAAGGCUCAGAGAGAUGACCCUAUGAGUAGGCAACGAAGCAAGAGUUGCUGCUGUGGUCGUAGGGACCUAUUUUCUUCGACUACCAUCUGAUUUCUGUCUAGAACUAAGAGACUAUUACUGUGUACC